GUGGGGAAUAUUGGGCAAUGGGCGAAAGCCUGACCCAGCAACGCCGCGUGAAGGAAGAAGGUCUUCGGAUCGUAAACUUCUAUCCUUGGUGAAGAUAAUGACGGUAGCCGAGAAGGAAGCCCCGGCUAACUACGUGCCAGCAGCCGCGGUAAUACGUAGGGGGCAAGCGUUGUCCGGAAUGAUUGGGCGUAAAGGGCGCGUAGGCGGCCUGGUAAGUCUGGAGUGAAAGUCCUGCUUUUGAGGUGGGAAUUGCUUUGGAUACUGUCGGGCUUGAGUGCAGGAGAGGUAAGUGGAAUUCCCGGUGUAGCGGUGAAAUGCGUAGAGAUCGGGAGGAACACCAGUGGCGAAGGCGACUUACUGGACUGUAACUGACGCUGAGGCGCGAAAGUGUGGGGAGCAAACAGGAUUAGAAACCCCAGUAGUCC
This 425-nucleotide ribosomal RNA is filed under the name uncultured bacterium. Its description in RNAcentral is "partial 16S ribosomal RNA". It matches the Rfam family "Bacterial small subunit ribosomal RNA", at positions 354 to 796 of the family's 1533-position model. The record is from RNAcentral.